CUUGUAGGCGGUUUGUCGCGUCUGCUGUGAAAAUCCGGGGCUCAACCCCGGACCUGCAGUGGGUACGGGCAGACUAGAGUGUGGUAGGGGAGACUGGAAUUCCUGGUGUAGCGGUGAAAUGCGCAGAUAUCAGGAGGAACACCGAUGGCGAAGGCAGGUCUCUGGGCCACUACUGACGCUGAGAAGCGAAAGCGUGGGGAGCGAACA
RNAcentral lists this ribosomal RNA (207 nucleotides) under uncultured bacterium. RNAcentral describes it as "partial 16S ribosomal RNA". It matches the Rfam family "Bacterial small subunit ribosomal RNA", at positions 568 to 774 of the family's 1533-position model. The record is from RNAcentral.